This 65-nucleotide ribosomal RNA is filed under the name Anopheles pullus. RNAcentral describes it as "partial 5.8S ribosomal RNA". Lineage: Eukaryota; Metazoa; Arthropoda; Insecta; Diptera; Culicidae. The record is from RNAcentral.
AGGUUAAUUUGAACGCAUAUUGCACGUCGUGGGACCUACCAUGACGAACACAUACUUGAGCGCUU